UAGAAGGAAGAGAGUGAGCUCAUUCUUUUUUUUUUUUUUCAUAUACGGUUCGAGCUGACAGGAUAUUUUGGAGAUAUUGCAAAGAGACAUUUGGAAAUUCCAGCCUGUAGCUCAGAGGAGGUUUGAGCAAGAGAUGUGGAUUUGAGAGACAUUUGACAAGAAGUAAUGGUUGAAGACAUGAAGGUCACCAGGGAGAGAGGAGAAAGGAGAAGGAGGGGGACCUUGAAGAAAUCUCUCCUUUUCAGUGGAGAAACACAAAAUUCCAGCCUGUAGCUCAGAGGAGGUUUGAGCAAGAGAUGUGGAUUUGAGAGACAUUUGACAAGAAGUAAUGGUUGAAGACAUGAAGGUCACCAGGGAGAGAGGAGAAAGGAGAAAGAGGGGGACCUUGAAGAAAUCUCUCCUUUUCAGUGGAGAAACACAAAGUCAGCAAAGAAAAGAUGAAGACAUUUUUCAAGAAGGGUAGUCACACUCAAAUAUUGUUGGGGUCAGAGUCCUCAGAGUGUGGAAAGGUAACUUGAAAGUUGGUGGACAGCACGGCAAAGAUGGAGAGAAAGUUAUAAUCUGACAUGAGUUUCAAGAGAGGAGAGACUGUUGAGUUUAAAAGUAGAAAGUUAUGCAGAGAUGACCCAGAAGCAACAGUGGAGUGGAGGGUAAUGAGAAUGUGCCCUUUCUUGGCUGAGAUAUAGGAGAAAUUAGGAAGCAAACUUUACUUGAGAGGGUGAAAAGCUAGGUUAAAGAGAAAGGUAGGUGUUCAGUAGUGCAGAGAAAUGAAAGGGGAGGAAAAGGUGAAAGUGUUUAAGGCCAAGGUCCAAAGUGUAAAGGAAUUUACUGACAGUGGAAUGAGAGGUCCUAAGGUUACAAUAACAAAGUUUAACCAUUCCAUACAUUUUCACUGAGUCAAGUCAACCUGAAGAUAGAGCACACACCUCAUCAACUACCUGUGCAGAAAGCUUUCAGGCUCUGAGUGAGCCCUCUCCAUUGAAGAAGCUGCGGACUUCAAAGGCAGUCCAUCACGGUCUCUGAUAUUUGUCGAAUUGAAUUUUGGAAACUGCAAGGAACCUCAUUUCCAGUUCAAGCUCUGGGAUACCUUAGAAAGUCUUCCCCGCCAAGAAAAUUGUCAUGUGCCAUUAAUGAUCUACAUCUGAAGUUAAUCUUUGUUUCAAUACCAUUGGCCUACUUCUUUGGACUGUGAUCGUUGACCAAUUUCAUUUUGGGGAAUUUUAGGGUUUUUUUUUUUGUUGUUGCUAAAUGAGGUGUAACAAAAUCUAGCACUCAUGAUUUCCAUGAAAAAUUCAUUCACUAAACAAAAUUGACGGAGCGGUGGCGCAGUGGUUAAGAAUCCGCCUGCCAAUGCAGGGAC
Delphinapterus leucas (beluga whale) is the source of this 1360-nucleotide non-coding RNA. The record is from RefSeq and is a predicted model, not a curated record. NCBI's taxonomy places the organism in Eukaryota, Metazoa, Chordata, Mammalia, Artiodactyla, Monodontidae.